GAUGAAGAACGCAGCGAAAUGCGAUAAGUAGUGUGAAUUGCAGAAUUCAGUGAAUCAUCGAACCUUUGAACGCACAUUGCGCCCUUUGGUAUUCCAAAGGGCAUGCCUGUUCGAGCGUCAUUUGUACCCUCAAGCUUUGCUUGGUGUUGGGCGUCUUGUCUCUAGCUUUGCUGGAGACUCGCCUUAAAGUAAUUGGCAGCCGGCCUACUGGUUUCGGAGCGCAGCACAAGUCGCACUCUCUAUCAGCAAAGGUCUAGCAUCCAUUAAGCCUUUUUUUCAACUUUUGACCUCGGAUCAGGUAGGGAUACCCGCUGAACUUAAGCAUAUCAAUAAGCGGAGGA
RNAcentral lists this unclassified non-coding RNA (341 nucleotides) under soil metagenome. RNAcentral's name for it is "partial contains 5.8S ribosomal RNA, internal transcribed spacer 2, and large subunit ribosomal RNA". The stretch from base 1 to 120 matches the Rfam family "5.8S ribosomal RNA", at positions 35 to 154 of the family's 154-position model. The record is from RNAcentral.